Tyto alba (common barn owl) is the source of this 363-nucleotide long non-coding RNA. RefSeq lists it as uncharacterized. The record is from RefSeq and is a predicted model, not a curated record. NCBI's taxonomy places the organism in Eukaryota, Metazoa, Chordata, Aves, Strigiformes, Tytonidae. The transcript is spliced from 3 exons.
GCGGGGGAGCCGCGGCUCAAGGCACCGACAGUGGCCCCGCUCGAAGGCGGCGGCGGAGAAGGAGGGGGGCGCGGAGCAGCGGCUAAAGGCUCCCACAGUCCCCGCUUCCCACAUGCACUAGCAAAAUGGAGAUGGUUCCCAGCGGCGUGUAUGCUGGCAGGCUCACCGGGCACCUGUGCAGAGGGGAAGCCAACGGGUGACCUGUGAAAGUGACCUGACAUCCCUGGUUAAAAAGAAAAAGCACUGAAGAUACUUUGGAAAAAAAAUUAGUACUUCAAAAAGCAGUUUUAAUUUUUCAUGCUGUAUGUUCCACAAAACUCAAACCAUUUAGUCUGUUUGUGUUGUGCUGCUAUCAAAAAAUGA